This is a long non-coding RNA of Brassica napus (rape), 1895 nucleotides long. RefSeq lists it as uncharacterized. NCBI's taxonomy places the organism in Eukaryota, Viridiplantae, Streptophyta, Magnoliopsida, Brassicales, Brassicaceae. The record is from RefSeq and is a predicted model, not a curated record. The transcript is spliced from 5 exons.
UGGAAGGAGUCCUUAGGAUUAGUUUAAUAAUUUUUUUUUUUUGAAUAGUUAAGGACUCUAGUCAAAAUAGUGUGUCCAAUGGUGAUCCCCAAUCACUACAAAAAACUAUUGUUUAGCAUCAUUUAUUUGUAUUUUUCCAUUAGUUAUAAAUGAUGUAAAAUAAUUUUGCAUCAUUUAUAUAAAUGACUCUGAAAGUGGUGAUGCAAAUAAUUCACAUCAUCUAUCCUAUACUAAAAGGAGGAUAUCAAGCCCUCUAAGCCUGUCCACGUCCGAUUAGAAAAUCGUCCAAUCAGAGGGCUCUGUUUUGACAUGUCAUACAGGCUUUGGUUCACCAAUCAAACACAAGUUUUAUAACAUGUCAUUAGGUCAACACAAAUUUUAUUCUUCUGAAUCGAUUCCUUUUUUUCUCUCCAAAACGUAUCGUGGACUUUUUUUUAUCCUUUCCAAGAGUCCUCUCAUUGAUUCCUCUUCCUUUCUUCUCACCUUCUCUGCAAAACCUUUCCCGUAGCCAGGAGUCACCUUUUUUUUACUGCGGUUUCCGAAAAUUUUAUUCUCGAAAUCGACUUUGGUGUGUUUUUCUUAGAAAUCCUAUUUAUGGAUUUAUGAUUCAGACAAAAAGAAACAAGAGCUACAGAAGGUGAAUCACGAAAAGUUACAAAGGGAUUUACGAAAGUCAUGAUUUUGUGCACUUAUGAUUCAGCAGAGAGAGUCAGAAGAAUUGCUAAUAAGGUUUAAUGGGGAAAGUAAAACCUAAAAAAAUGAAGGUUUUCGUAAGGAUCUCUUGCACAACUUCUCUGAACCAUUUGGUUGUUUCCUCUGUGUGUUUUCCUCUUCCAAAGGUUUUUGUUUUUGUUAUCAUACAUUUUCACUUUUAAUAUUGGUAUUAUUUAGCAGGCUCAAAGUAUGAUAAUAUGAAACUGAGGAUACUUCAUGAUAAAACCCACCAAAAAGAGAAAAGAGGAGGAACAUAGCAGACAUGUAAAAAAUAAGACAUUUGAUAAAAGGUACAAAUGCUUCCCUUAAUUCAUCACCUACAGUCAGCAAAAUAUAUCAGGAUCGCAUUGCACUGUUUAUCAUCUUUUAUUGUUCCUGCUCAUGUCUUUUUUCUUUACAGGAAGAUAUUGCCCUUGGAGAACUGUAUACUUUUAGUAAACUCUAAGUAUGCUUUAAGAUUUUCAGGUCUUUUAGUCUGCAAAAGAUAGGAUCCCUACGUUUAACCUUUUAUUAACAAUCUUUUGUUAAGACCCUUGAUUUUUGUGGCAGCUUUCAGUAUGUUUCUGGAAGUAAGCACAAUUCCUCAUCAUUCUGAUGUAUUCUGGGUUAGCACAUCGGGGUACAUUGCAUCACAUACCGUGUUAUGAGGAGGAAGCUUCAUGGACUGGAAGGAAGCGAUGACGAGGUUUAUGACUUGGUAACGGCUUUGUUUUUGAGGGGUAUCAGAGGCUCAUAGAAGAAACCGUUGCUUGCGGCUGGAGGUGGAAUGUCUGUGGAAGUCUUCAACAGAGGAGUGAUUCCAUUGGCUUACAAUAUCAUUAAGAAGAAUAAAGUCAGAGAAACUAACACUUACUUGGAUGGAGUCUACCUUAUUUUCACUUGCUUAACUAAAACUUGAAUCCAUUACUCCAAUGGAGACUGCUCUUACUACUGCAAUAUAGUCCAUAAUGGCAUUAUCCGAUUUUCUUCCUUCAAGAUAAAGAAGAAGUACAACUGAAGAGACGAUGAACAUUGCAUGUGUGUAUGUGACCAAAUUUAGGAUUCUAGAUGUUCCUUCUGAAUUAAAGUAAACCUAUCUUUAUUUCGUAUGUGUCUUUGUAUCAUUUGAAAAGUGCAUGUUUUCUUUAUAUACAGAGUGUGAGAAACUGCAAUGCAAUUUUUAUUAUAUCAGCUAUUCAAAC